RNAcentral lists this small nucleolar RNA (84 nucleotides) under Cricetulus griseus (Chinese hamster). Its description in RNAcentral is "Small nucleolar RNA SNORD11". The record is from RNAcentral. Lineage: Eukaryota; Metazoa; Chordata; Mammalia; Rodentia; Cricetidae.
GUCUCUCAGAAGAGGUAGUGACUGAAGAUGCCCUCAUUAUCCAAAAUGAAAUCAGGCAAAGCAACAGCAAUCAUCAUUGUACCA